UUAAAAUUGCCCUUGUCCUCUGGGCUUUCCUGCCUCCCAGAACAACACUAAAUAUCAGCAAAUUCCCCUAGGAAGAAACAUUUGCUUCCUGGCGGCGGAUGGGAUUCCUCGGUUGCAGGACAAGACUUGGUGGCACUUUGCCUCUUCUAGGACCCAUGCAAAGCCUGGC
Molecule: non-coding RNA, 169 nt
Organism: Tinamus guttatus (white-throated tinamou)
Lineage: Eukaryota; Metazoa; Chordata; Aves; Tinamiformes; Tinamidae
Source: RefSeq, a predicted model, not a curated record